GGGGGGGGGGGGGGGGAGGCCGAGCGGGGGCGGGUCGAACGGCAGCACAGUAAGAGCUUGCUCUUACGGGUGGCGAGUGGCGGACGGGGGAGGAAUACAUCGGAAUCUACUUUUUCGUGGGGGAUAACGUAGGGAAACUUACGCUAAUACCGCAUACGACCUACGGGUGAAAGCAGGGGAUCUUCGGACCUUGCGCGAUUGAAUGAGCCGAUGUCGGAUUAGCUAGUUGGCGGGGUAAAGGCCCACCAAGGCGACGAUCCGUAGCUGGUCUGAGAGGAUGAUCAGCCACACUGGAACUGAGACACGGUCCAGACUCCUACGGGAGGCAGCAGUGGGGAAUAUUGGACAAUGGGCGCAAACCUGAUCCAGCCAUACCGCGUGGGUGAAGAAGGCCUUCGGGUUGUAAAGCCCUUUUGUUGGGAAAGAAAAGCAGCAGGUUAAUACCCCGCUGUUCUGACGGUACCCAAAGAAUAAGCACCGGCUAACUUCGUG
Molecule: ribosomal RNA, 492 nt
Filed under: uncultured bacterium
Lineage: Bacteria
Description: partial 16S ribosomal RNA
Rfam family: Bacterial small subunit ribosomal RNA
Source: RNAcentral